GCCUGGCCCUAAAUCUUGAUGCUCGAUCUUACCGGAGCAUCCGCCCGAGAACUACGAGCACUAACGCUUAAAACUCUAAGGACUUGGCGGUGUCCCAAACCCACCUAGAGGAGCCUGUUCUGUAAUCGAUGAUCCACGAUAUACCUGACCAUUCCUCGCCAGAUCAGCCUAUAUACCGCCGUCGCCAGCCCACCCAGCAUGAAGGACCAACAGUGGACGCAAUAGCCUCACCCGCUAAUAAGACAGGUCAAGGUAUAGCCUAUGGAAUGGAAGCAAUGGGCUACAUUUUCUAAGCUAGAACACAACGGCAAAGGGACAUGAAACUGACCCUGGAAGGAGGAUUUAGCAGUAAAGUGGGACAAUCGAGCCCUCUUUAAGCCGGCCCUGGGACACGU
This 395-nucleotide ribosomal RNA is filed under the name Phylloscopus soror (plain-tailed warbler). RNAcentral describes it as "Seicercus soror (plain-tailed warbler) partial 12S ribosomal RNA". It matches the Rfam family "Bacterial small subunit ribosomal RNA", at positions 794 to 1384 of the family's 1533-position model. The record is from RNAcentral. Lineage: Eukaryota; Metazoa; Chordata; Aves; Passeriformes; Phylloscopidae.